RNAcentral lists this non-coding RNA (138 nucleotides) under Campylobacter jejuni. Lineage: Bacteria; Pseudomonadati; Campylobacterota; Epsilonproteobacteria; Campylobacterales; Campylobacteraceae. The record is from RNAcentral.
AUUUUUUAAUAAUUUAUGUCCAAUAAUAAGCAUUUUUUUCCUUAGCUCUAUUUUUUAUUAUUUUGUAAAUUAUACUUAUAAAAUCGUUACCAAGCAAGAUGGCGCAGCGGACGGGGCUCGAACCCGCGACCUCCGCCG